RNAcentral lists this ribosomal RNA (776 nucleotides) under uncultured Actinobacillus sp. RNAcentral describes it as "bacterial SSU rRNA". It matches the Rfam family "Bacterial small subunit ribosomal RNA", at positions 99 to 874 of the family's 1533-position model. Lineage: Bacteria; Pseudomonadati; Pseudomonadota; Gammaproteobacteria; Pasteurellales; Pasteurellaceae. The record is from RNAcentral.
CGGACGGGUGAGUAAUGCUUGGGAAUCUGGCUUAUGGAGGGGGAUAACUACGGGAAACUGUAGCUAAUACCGCGUAAUAUCUUCGGAUUAAAGGGUGGGACUUUCGGGCCACCUGCCAUAAGAUGAGCCCAAGUGGGAUUAGGUAGUUGGUGGGGUAAAGGCCUACCAAGCCGACGAUCUCUAGCUGGUCUGAGAGGAUGACCAGCCACACUGGAACUGAGACACGGUCCAGACUCCUACGGGAGGCAGCAGUGGGGAAUAUUGCACAAUGGGGGGAACCCUGAUGCAGCCAUGCCGCGUGAAUGAAGAAGGCCUUCGGGUUGUAAAGUUCUUUCGGUGAUGAGGAAGGUGUUUGUUUUAAUAGAACAAGCAAUUGACGUUAGUCACAGAAGAAGCACCGGCUAACUCCGUGCCAGCAGCCGCGGUAAUACGGAGGGUGCGAGCGUUAAUCGGAAUGACUGGGCGUAAGGGCACGCAGGCGGUGACUUAAGUGAGAUGUGAAAGCCCCGAGCUUAACUUGGGAAUUGCAUUUCAUACUGGGUCGCUAGAGUAUUUUAGGGAGGGGUAGAAUUCCACGUGUAGCGGUGAAAUGCGUAGAGAUGUGGAGGAAUACCGAAGGCGAAGGCAGCCCCUUGGGAAUAUACUGACGCUCAUGUGCGAAAGCGUGGGGAGCAAACAGGAUUAGAUACCCUGGUAGUCCACGCUGUAAACGCUGUCGAUUUGGGGAUUGGGCUUAGAGCUUGGUGCCCGUAGCUAACGUGAUAAAUCGACCGCCU